GACGAACGCUGGCGGCGUGCUUAACACAUGCAAGUCGAACGGAAAGGCCCUGCUUUUGUGGGGUGCUCGAGUGGCGAACGGGUGAGUAACACGUGAGUAACCUGUCCUUGACUUUGGGAUAACUUCAGGAAACUGGGGCUAAUACCGGAUAGGAGCUCCUGCUGCAUGGUGGGGGUUGGAAAGUUUCGGCGGUUGGGGAUGGACUCGCGGCUUAUCAGCUUGUUGGUGGGGUAGUGGCUUACCAAGGCUUUGACGGGUAGCCGGCCUGAGAGGGUGACCGGCCACAUUGCGACUGAGAUACGGCCCAGACUCCUACGGGAGGCAGCAGUGGGGAAUAUUGCACAAUGGGCGGAAGCCUGAUGCAGCAACGCCGCGUGCGGGAUGACGUCCUUCGGGGGGUAAACCGCUUUCGCCGGUGACGAAGCGGGAGUGACGGUAAUGGGUAAAGAAGCACCGGCUAACUACGUG
RNAcentral lists this ribosomal RNA (468 nucleotides) under uncultured bacterium. Its description in RNAcentral is "partial 16S ribosomal RNA". It matches the Rfam family "Bacterial small subunit ribosomal RNA", at positions 28 to 507 of the family's 1533-position model. The record is from RNAcentral.